GAUGAACGCUGGCGGCGUGCUUAACACAUGCAAGUCGAACGGUGAAGCCAAGCUUGCUUGGUGGAUCAGUGGCGAACGGGUGAGUAACACGUGAGCAACCUGCCCUGGACUCUGGGAUAAGCGCUGGAAACGGUGUCUAAUACUGGAUAUGAGAUGUGAUCGCAUGGUCAUGUUUGGAAAGAUUUUUCGGUCUGGGAUGGGCUCGCGGCCUAUCAGCUUGUUGGUGAGGUAAUGGCUCACCAAGGCGUCGACGGGUAGCCGGCCUGAGAGGGUGACCGGCCACACUGGGACUGAGACACGGCCCAGACUCCUACGGGAGGCAGCAGUGGGGAAUAUUGCACAAUGGGCGGAAGCCUGAUGCAGCAACGCCGCGUGAGGGAUGACGGCCUUCGGGUUGUAAACCUCUUUUAGCAGGGAAGAAGCGUAAGUGACGGUACCUGCAGAAAAAGCGCCGGCUAACUACGUGCCAGCAGCCGCGGUAAUACGUAGGGCGCAAGCGUUAUCCGGAAUUAUUGGGCGUAAAGAGCUCGUAGGCGGUUUGUCGCGUCUGCUGUGAAAUCCCGAGGCUCAACCUCGGGUCUGCAGUGGGUACGGGCAGACUAGAGUGCGGUAGGGGAGAUUGGAAUUCCUGGUGUAGCGGUGGAAUGCGCAGAUAUCAGGAGGAACACCGAUGGCGAAGGCAGAUCUCUGGGCCGUAACUGACGCUGAGGAGCGAAAGGGUGGGGAGCAAACAGGCUUANAUACCCUGGUAGUCCACCCCGUAAACGUUGGGAACUAGUUGUGGGGACCAUUCCACGGUUUCCGUGACGCAGCUAACGCAUUAAGUUCCCCGCCUGGGGAGUACGGCCGCAAGGCUAAAACUCAAAGGAAUUGACGGGGACCCGCACAAGCGGCGGAGCAUGCGGAUUAAUUCGAUGCAACGCGAAGAACCUUACCAAGGCUUGACAUACACCAGAACACCGUANAAAUACGGGACUCUUUGGACACUGGUGAACAGGUGGUGCAUGGUUGUCGUCAGCUCGUGUCGUGAGAUGUUGGGUUAAGUCCCGCAACGAGCGCAACCCUCGUUCUAUGUUGCCAGCACGUAAUGGUGGGAACUC
Molecule: ribosomal RNA, 1100 nt
Filed under: Microbacterium sp. IK2_15
Lineage: Bacteria; Bacillati; Actinomycetota; Actinomycetes; Micrococcales; Microbacteriaceae
Description: bacterial SSU rRNA
Rfam family: Bacterial small subunit ribosomal RNA
Source: RNAcentral